This is a long non-coding RNA of Spodoptera frugiperda (fall armyworm), 2656 nucleotides long. RefSeq lists it as uncharacterized. The transcript is spliced from 2 exons. The record is from RefSeq and is a predicted model, not a curated record. NCBI's taxonomy places the organism in Eukaryota, Metazoa, Arthropoda, Insecta, Lepidoptera, Noctuidae.
UGCGGUUUCAUUAUAAAUAGGAGUCUGAUAUUGAAGUACUAUUAUAGUCGAGGGAACUCUUCAACGGUUAACAAUAGGUGCCUUGUGUCAGGUCACUCAGACUUCUGGCCUAUUAUAAAGAGACAGAGUCGCCAGGACCGAUGAAGUUAAGUCUGUGCACGACUAAGUCCAAAUUGUGGAAAUUUGCCAAACGACUUGUGUCGCCGACAUAGCUAUAUCUUCUAGCUCUAAAGCUACAUCCUAAAAAAAAAGUAAUAGUGGACAGUCUAUAUCGCUCGAAGGACUAAGGGCCCUUAUGUCUAAUAGGUGCCCGAGUGGCGAGCAAGGAUCAGGAGACGUUCUUAUUCCGAGCCUAUGAGCAUGACAGUGGAACUCAAAACUGAUCUUGACAUUUUUAGUGUGUCAUUUAAUUAUUCACAACUAUUUUGCGCAGUCUGAUUUCGCCAUUAUUUUCGAGAUAAUUUUGUAUUCUUCAACAUAAUUUCUAUGUUAUAUAAAAAUCCCCCUAGUCACAGCAGAUCCUAUAGAUGGCCGGCUGUAUUGAUUUAUAUCUGCGGUUUAGACACUGCACCGCAUCCUUGCUCCCCCCCCACCUGUACCACGUGGCACGGUCCGGCACUGCGGUAUUGUACUUGCGCAGAUUGCUAUCCGCGCUUCUCUCCUCCCUCCCCCCAACACGCCGCGCACCACGCCCUGGCCGGCACAUGCGCUGUACUUGGUACUGUGCAGUCCCCUCCCCUGUACCCCGCGCUAGACUUGGGCACUGCGGCACUGUACUUGCGCAGAACGAGCUUCCAUGCACCGCACCCUGCCCCGUGCUCCGCCCUAGCGCUGCGGCACUGCGCCAGUGCGCCGCCGAUCUCCAUCCAGUUAAGACGCGUCGCCGUGUUCCGAACACAACCGGUCUCCUUUGUCAUCUUGUGGACUGGUUACAAUAGUCAGUUAGUGGGUGCGCGGAAUUAGUUCGGAUUGUGAUUCGGUCUGCAUUAUCUAUCAUCGAGUGUUAGUGAAGUUAGAAGCAGCCAUUGCUGUGCCGCAACACCUGGUAUGAGGGUGAGUUAUACUUCAGUCUCUUGGUUUCUCUUUUAGCUGCGGUUGAGGAAGACAAUCGGGGGAGUUCUGCAGGUGUAUCCAGUGACCAAUUUAAUCUUCUUGGAGCUUGGAAUAGUACAAUUUUAUUUGUUCUUUGUUAUAAAAUUUAGACUUCAUGUCUUCUUUUCUCAGCAGAUCUUUCGGCUGUUAUAACUUUACAUCGAUUUUCUUUGUUACUUUAGUUAGGUUUCAGCGCCCCGGGGACUAGACAUGCAGUGUGUGAAAUUCUGUAACUUUCAUCACAUCUUGGCCCACUCCACUCCUCCGUGUUUUCGACUACGGUCCAAUCGUCAAAUCCAAUUUGAAUGGAUAGUUUUCAAGAUACUAGAUUUCUUCUUCCAUGCACAUAACUUAGUCCAAGACGAGGGCUUAAUAUUUAAUAGAAUACUGUCUGUAAUUAGUAUGUGUCACCAUAGUUAGUGUUGGUCUCUCAUUAUGUGCCUUAUAAGAAAGCUCAAGUUCACUCGGCGUGGAAAGAGCUAUACUCGAAGUUUCUUUGCGAGGUCGAAUCAAAACUAAGGAGAAGCAAAAGAACAAAAUGUCGCUGACGAAUGAAGUCCAAUUGAUUAGCAAGUGGUAGAGGGUGAUAUAGUUUGGAGCAUCAAGUUUCUCGAAUGGACGCCACGCAUCGACAAGCGCAGCGUCGAAUGUUUUUUUAAACUGUACUACGACACUCUAGCCAAGCCUUGGUGGGCUCGCUGUCAUUGCAGCGGUAAGUCCCCUCUGAGGAGUGGUUAGAGAGGCGUCCUCACCUACCGCCUGACACAGGUGCUUACCGGACACGGGAGUUUCGGUAGGUUCCUGUUUCUGAUUGGGCGGGAGGAAACGCCCGGGUGUCAUCACUGCAAAGACCGCCCGGAGGACACGGUGGAACAUACGGUUGCGGUCUGCCCUGCGUGGGCUGAGCACCGGCGUGCCCUCAGCGACGGCGACCUCUCGCGUCCGGCACUGGUACAAACCAUGGUGCGGAGCGAGGAGGACUGAGAUGCCGUCUCCUCCUUCUGCGAAGCAGUCAUGCUAGAUAAGGAACGAACGAAGAAUGAACCUCACGCCCCAGCCGUCGCGAGAGACACUCCGGGCGUCGGGGAUCGCGCGACGAUCUCCGGCCACCGUAAGUGCGGGUCUGCGGAUGGCGAGAAGGAGAUGCUCGCCGCCCGACCAGAUCCAGACUGCAGCUGCGGACUACCUAGCGGGUUUACCGGGGCUCUGGUUCGAAAAGUAGGAGUAGGAACGGGGUGGUUUUUAGUCAGUAAGAGUCUGACACUCCCCUCGCCUCGCCCAAGGUGAGAGAAGUCAUUGGACGAUUUUCCCCCCGCAAAAAAAAGGCAAACAUUGAGAUUACGGCAAACUCCUUGUACUUAGAGGAAGUCUAUAAUGUAUUAAUGAUGAUCAUCAUCAGCCUAUAUCAAAUCAAUCAGACUGUUGAGAAAAAGCUUGUCCUCACACGGAACCUGAAUGUUACGUAUUCCGACGUGCGGUCAUCACUGGUCUAUUGGCUGUCAGUCCUUCGAGCGAUGUGGCCUCCCAUUGCCACUUCGGCUUGCAGAUUUUAAGAGUUAUGUUC